CACGCACACAAACAUGUUGCGAAAUUUUCAAUCAACUGUCUCGGCUAGAAAUUUCUAGCAAACAUGACGGCCUAAACAGACACACGAAGAUAGCUGUUAGUACGGUUUUUUGAAUUGUCAAGCGUGCGGUGAAACUAUGGAGAGAAGAUAGCUCACGGCGCACAGGGAGCAAGAUUGCACCAACAGGGCAGUGACGUGUAUUUACUGUGGCGUGUAGUUCGGCAUAGCUAUAUGAAGGACCAUUUGGAUGUCUGCCCUAAGUUUCCGAUCCAUUGCUUCUUGAACUGUGGACAAAGGUAUAUCAAGAGACAUGAUGGAAGAACACAUGACCAAACGUUGUCUUAUAGCUGAACAUCUAUGUCCUUUCAGGAUUCAUGGGUGUGAAUUUAAGGACACUAAACAAACAAUCGAUGAACACAUUGCUAAGAAUAUCGAGUCUCAUCUUGAAAUGAUGAACCAUUCAAGCCAUGAUUGUAACGAGAAAUCAAAACAGAUAGAAGAGAAGAUGUAUCGUUUAGAACAAGAAAAAAAAUUGCUUUGGAACAUCAACUACAAAAUCAAGCAGAGGUGUUGGUAGCUGCAAGACAAAACAUACAAACGCAACAGACAAAAUUGUCCUACGUAGAAAAAUCCAUCAUCAAACAAAACAGGACAACUGAGAAACUGCUUGCUGAUUUGAAGGUUUUUGAGUCAUCUAGAAGGGGGAUGCUGUCUCGUCUCAGAUUGAAGAAAUGAUGAACACGCUGUGAGAACACGAGAAGGAGGUGAGCAGUCUCCAGGGUGAAGUGGCUCGUUUGAAAUUAUCCCCUGCCACGCCGAAAGGUGUGAGUAACUAGCGUCCGAAAUCCGACGUGUCUGUCACUCGUGAGUCCGAGCGCCAGCUGGACAGGAAUAAGCACCAACUAGCACUGAGCGACAUUUAAUUGUCCGAUCAGGAUAUGCAGAUUCAAAUGUUGGAGGCUACAUCGUAUAAUGGCACUUACUUUUCGAAGAUGGGCCGCUACAGCCAACGCUUCCAAGAGGCUUUUGAUGAAAAAACUAUCAAUUUGCAGCCCUCCUUUCUAUGUGGGACAAUUUGGGUACAAAGUAUGUGCAUUGGCAAAGGAACGCAUUUUUCAAUGUUCUUUGUUGUCAUGAGGGGUGAAUAGGAUGCUUUAUUACCUUGGCCGUUUCUCCAAAAGGUCCACUUUCGACUGAUAGACCAGGACAGUAGGAUCGGGGACGCGUAUGAUGCGUUUCGCCCUCAAGCUUAAAAGACCUACGUCAGACAUGAACAUAGCAUCUGGCUGCCCGACGUUUAUUUUUCACAUUAAACUAAGGCAAGGUGGCUGUAUUCGGAACGAUACAAUGUUUAUCAAAAUGACUGUGGACAACACUGGUCUGCAAGGACAUUUGUGGCAGUAAAUCCUUGCCUUUUGCAACCUCUCUGGUCAAUACCCUUGCCAAACGGUUUUUGUGGUUUAGUUGGUCAAAUUCCCUUAGUCGUGUGC
This is a non-coding RNA of Pocillopora verrucosa, 1490 nucleotides long. The record is from RefSeq and is a predicted model, not a curated record. Lineage: Eukaryota; Metazoa; Cnidaria; Anthozoa; Scleractinia; Pocilloporidae.